GGUUAGCUCUGUCGGAAGAGCACUCGUCUUUUAACCGUGUGAUCUUGGGUUCCGUUCCCUCAU
RNAcentral lists this transfer RNA (63 nucleotides) under Ditylum brightwellii. The record is from RNAcentral. Lineage: Eukaryota; Bacillariophyta; Thalassiosirophyceae; Lithodesmiales; Lithodesmiaceae.